Pelobates cultripes (western spadefoot toad) is the source of this 457-nucleotide non-coding RNA. The record is from the annotation of a GenBank genome assembly. Lineage: Eukaryota; Metazoa; Chordata; Amphibia; Anura; Pelobatidae.
ACGAUAGACUAUACACACAAUAACACCGCGAACCCAAAACCACAAGACACGACAACCACCCCUGACCACUGGAACAAGCCGCAGCUAACAUCGCAAACGCAACUCAGACGCACCCAAGACGAUGCAACUGACAACAGAGACCAAACGAAACACACAUAAGCAAACAACAAAACGGUCCUGACGUCUAACGGAGAACACACACCCAACACUCAGACUAUAGUACAAAGAAAGGCUUGUGCCACUCUUUCUUGUGUGACACUCUAGCAGCAGGCAACCUUACUGCAGGCCUAUAGUAUGUAAAAACCACCAAAUCAGAAACCAAACGAGAAACUACACUGCUCAAACGCUCAUAAAACUGCACCAAACCCUGAGGCCUGACAUAACCUCAAAACCAGAAUUACCGCCCGAACAGCGACCUUCGCUGUGAGGAUGUAAACUCAAUUGUAUAUACUAUGAG